GUAGUCUGNAACCCGACUACAUGAAGCUGGAAUCGCUAGUAAUCGCAGGUCAGCAUACUGCGGUGAAUACGUUCCCGGGUCUUGUACACACCGCCCGUCACACCAUGGGAGCCGGAAAUGCCCGAAGCCAGUGACCCAACCUUAGGGAGGGAGCUGUCGAAGGUGGAGCCGGUAACUGGGGUGAAGUCGUAACAAGGUACC
RNAcentral lists this ribosomal RNA (201 nucleotides) under uncultured bacterium. RNAcentral's name for it is "partial 16S ribosomal RNA". It matches the Rfam family "Bacterial small subunit ribosomal RNA", at positions 1300 to 1500 of the family's 1533-position model. The record is from RNAcentral.